This 4033-nucleotide small RNA is filed under the name Pongo abelii (Sumatran orangutan). Its description in RNAcentral is "retained intron". Lineage: Eukaryota; Metazoa; Chordata; Mammalia; Primates; Hominidae. The record is from RNAcentral.
CUCCGCGGCCCUUCGGCGCGUGAGUGACAGCGGCCCAGACGGAGGGGACGAUGUCCGCGGCGUGACUGGGGCCGGUCGCGGGGCAGACUAAUCCCCUGCUCCUGGCCAGGGGAGGCUCCCGAGCGGAACCUCGGGAAAGGGGCUCCGAAGGUCAAGAAAUUGCUCUGCUGGGCGUCCGGGGAGUGGUAAAGUAAAGCACUUUUUGUAUCACGCCCCUCCCACGUCACGUGACCACGCGGGGCGGAAAGAAGAAAUCCGAGGACCAGGCGACGCCUAGAACAGGAGCCCAUGAUGCUGCCCAAACCUGGGACCUAUUACCUCCCCUGGGAGGUUAGUGCAGGCCAAGUUCCUGAUGGGAGCACACUGAGAACAUUUGGCAGGUUGUGCCUCUAUGACAUGAUCCAGUCCAGAGUAACACUGAUGGCUCAGCACGGAUCUGAUCAGCACCAGGUUCUUGUCUGUACCAAGUUGGUGGAGCCCUUCCACGCCCAAGUGGGCUCCCUGUACGUCGUCCUUGGGGAGCUCCAGCAUCAGCAGGACAGAGGCUCCGUGGUGAAGGCGCGCGUGCUGACCUGUGUGGAGGGGAUGAACCUGCCCUUGUUGGAACAAGCCAUCCGGGAGCAGAGGCUGUACAAGCAGGAGCGGGGCGGCAGCCAGUAGGAAACAGCAGCCCAGCAACACCCUCACCUGCUUCUGAGCCCAAACCCUCUGGAGCUGCGGGAGCCCUGGAGGGCACAGACGCCUCCCCAGCAACGGCCUUGUCUGGAGCCCGAAAGCAGAGGGGCGGGUGGUGAAUCCAGCCCUUUCUGCUGCUUUGGGAUUGGCUCAGCAAUGAGAGCCCAGAAAGCAUGCCAUAAAUCCGACAGCCCCACCCUGGGAGACUGCAGGUGGCCGAGCUUGGGCUCUGGGCCGUGCUUGGUGUGGGGCCAUGGAGGGUUCCAGAAGGUCCUGGUGAAUAAAGGCCCAGGGGGCGUGCUCUCAAAGUGUGCUUGUGGUGCAGUGCCGGCGGGGGCCAGAAGGGGGAGCUGCAACCAGGGCUGUGGGCUGCAGCCUCUCAGGGCUUCUGGUGAAUUCUGGGCCUGGGGCCUUAGGGGAGGGUGCCAGGGGCCCAGGGGCUGGGGUGGGAGGCCCAGGUCAGGGGCCCAGGAUGCAGGGGUCUGCCCCUGGCCAGGCUCUGCCUUCAGCGGAGGCUGAUGUGGUCACACGGGCCGAGCCGAGGCCCUGGGCCCUGACCGUGCAGCCUAAGACAGACUGUGGCUUUAAGACCCUCCCGACCCCUGACCUCUGCCCCCAGUGGCCCUGGCCCCUGGGCAGCCCUUCCUGGCCGCCAUGUGUCCCCAGAGCCUGGGCCUGGCUGGGCUGGGCAGUGACCCGGGUGGGAGAGGGUGGUCUUGCCCUUUAAGGCCUGGCACGAGUGAGAGGCCUGGGGUUCCAUGCUGGGCUGGGCUGGGCGAGGGGUGGCCUCUAACUUCCUGGGGGUUCUGGCUGGGCUGGGCAGGGGCUGGGUGGGAGAGUGUGGGCCCUGCCCUCUGAGGCCGGGCAUGCGCGAGAAGCCUGGGGGUCCUGGCUGAGCUGGGCUGGGUGAGGGGUGGCACCUGACCCCCUUGGGGUCCGGGCUGGGCUGGGCUGGGCGAGGAGUGGCCCCUGACCCACUUGGGGUCUGGGCUGGGCUGGGCUGGGCGAGGGGCGGUCUCCGACCCCCAGCCAGGUUCCCAGGCAGGAUGAGCUGGGGUUGGGGUGGCUAGGCCAUGGGCCUUGGGAGGUGGGCAGUCUGGGCAGGGCUGGGCUGGGCUGGGCGCCACAUGGAGGCUGGAGGAGCAACGGGAGCGCUGGGCGUGGGGCGCAAAUCGCCCAGCGCCUUCUGUUUCCCAGGCAGCUCUGUGGCCAUGGAUGUGUUCCAGAAGGUAGAGAAGAUCGGAGAGGGCACCUAUGGGGUGGUGUACAAGGCCAAGAACAGGGAGACAGGGCAGCUGGUGGCCCUGAAGAAGAUCAGACUGGAUUUGGAGAUGGAGGGGGUCCCAAGCACUGCUAUCAGGGAGAUCUCCCUGCUCAAGGAACUGAAGCACCCCAACAUCGUCCGGUGAGUUGGGGAUUGAGGUGGGGAAGCUGGGAUGGCAAAGGUAGCAUCCUGACUGCCAUCUCCCUGCCAGACUGCUGGACGUGGUGCACAACGAGAGGAAGCUCUAUCUGGUGUUUGAGUUCCUCAGCCAGGACCUGAAGAAGUACAUGGACUCCACGCCAGGCUCAGAGCUCCCCCUGCACCUCAUCAAGAGCUACCUCUUCCAGCUGCUGCAGGGGGUGAGUUUCUGCCACUCACAUCGGGUCAUCCACCGAGACCUGAAGCCCCAGAACCUGCUCAUCAAUGAGUUGGGUGCCAUCAAGCUGGCUGACUUCGGCCUGGCUCGAGCCUUCGGGGUGCCCCUGCGCACCUACACCCACGAGGUGGUGACACUGUGGUAUCGUGCCCCCGAGAUUCUCUUGGGCAGCAAGUUCUAUACCACAGCUGUGGAUAUCUGGAGCAUUGGUUGCAUCUUUGCAGAGAUGGUAGAGAGAGGGGCACACAUGGCCACAGGGUGCCACAGGCAGGGUCCUACUGGGGUUGGGUGGGGCCUACUGAUGCUUCCAUUCCAGGUGGAUUAAAGAGUGUUUGGGGCUGGACAUGGUGGCUCACACCUGUAAUCCCAGCACUUUGGGAGGCUGAGACGGGAGGAUUGCUUGAGCCCAGGGGUUUGAGACCAGCCUGGGCAACAUAACAAAUCCCCAGCUCUUAAAAAAAUACAAAAAUUAGCUGGGUGUGGUGGUGCAUGCUUGUAGUCCCAGCUACUCGGGAGGUUGAGGCAGGAGGAUUGCUUGAGCCUGUGGUUGAGGCUGCAGUGAGCUGUGAUCGCACCACUGCACUCUAGCCUGGGUGAUAGAGCAAGACUCCGUCUCUAUUUUUUAAAAAAAGGUGUUUGGUACUGGCUAAAGGACUGAGGAAGGUAGCCUUAUUCCAAAAGAGGCCAGAAUUCUUUGCACAGCCAUGGGAAAGAUAUCUUGACAGGCCUCUCCCUGGGUCUGGCCACUUAUCUGGUAUUGGAUUCUGUAUAACAAAGCGGCGGACCCCACACCUUCUCUUCUUUCCUAUUUCAGGUGACUCGAAAAGCCCUGUUUCCUGGUGACUCUGAGAUUGACCAGCUCUUUCGUAUCUUUCGUAUGCUGGGGACACCCAGCGAAGACACAUGGCCCGGGGUCACCCAGCUGCCUGACUAUAAGGGCAGCUUCCCUAAGUGGACCAGGAAGGAACUGGAAGAGAUUGUGCCCAAUCUGGAGCCAGAGGGCAGGGACCUGCUCAUGCAACUCCUGCAGUAUGACCCCUGCCAGCGGAUCACAGCCAAGACUGCCCUGGCCCACCCGUACUUCUCAUCCCCCGAGCCCUCCCCGGCCGCCCACCAGUAUGUGCUGCAGCGAUUCUGCCGUUGAGAAUGUCAAGGCCACACUCAGAUCCUCUCUCGAGCAGCUGCUGCCCCAGCUGCCUCCUACCCAUUGCCGAGAGAGGAUGCAUCUGGGGAGAGCAAAGCACUAAGGAAUUCAGCGUCAACCUGCAGAGGGCUGAGCCUGGGUUAGUCCUGCCCGCAGGUUAGCGAGAUCCUGUGUUUUUUGGGUUUGACGGUGCUGUUUCAAAAUAGAGGCACAGAUGCUCCAUGCACGAGGGAUCCCCAGGCACUGGAACAAGUGCCAAGUUGAAGGCAGGGGGCCUGCCAGAGCUGGGUGUGGGUAUUCAGGCCCUCACCUGCCCCGCCUGCAGGGCCAGACCCUGAGGAAAGGGCGCCCCCUGCUGGUCUUUUUGGAUUUAAAAUGUUUGGGGGAAGAGUUGAGUUCCAGUUGAGAGUUCCAAGUUAAACAGGAGGGAGUGAGGGAGAGGAGAGAGGGCAUUCCCCGGAUCCCAGGAGAGCUGGGCUAUGACUGCAAUAAGGAGUUGUUCCUUCACCUGAGAUGUGCUUCUUUUGGUUCAUUUCUGGCUUGACAACAAGAAAUAAAUGUGGUAUGUUCCUGA